UACGGGGGGGGCAAGCGUUGUUCGGAAUUACUGGGCGUAAAGCGCACGUAGGCGGAUUUGUUAGUCAGGGGUGAAAUCCCGGGGCUCAACCUCGGAACUGCCUUUGAUACUGCAAGUCUCGAGUCCGAUAGAGGUGGGUGGAAUUCCUAGUGUAGAGGUGAAAUCCGUAGAUAUUAGGAGGAACACCGGUGGCGAAGGCGGCUACCUGGACCGAUAUUGACGCUGAGACGCGAAAGCGUGGGGAGCAAACAGG
RNAcentral lists this ribosomal RNA (253 nucleotides) under uncultured bacterium. Its description in RNAcentral is "partial 16S ribosomal RNA". It matches the Rfam family "Bacterial small subunit ribosomal RNA", at positions 524 to 776 of the family's 1533-position model. The record is from RNAcentral.